UUCCCCAAUUCCUCUCCUUUCUCUGAAGCUCUUUCCUUUCAGGUCCCCCAGUUUGGCGUUUCCCCGCAAGAGGAGGAACGCGCGUCUCCUCAGGCCUUUCCGGGGUCCUGCAAACUUGAGAGCCCCAAGUCCUCUAUGCCAAGAUGAAGUUAGAAGUGCAAGAAAUCUGUUGGGAGUGGUGCCUCUGGAAGAUCAAGGUGUGAGGGAGCAGGAGGACGCAGGGAGCGUUCAGACUGCCACGCAGGUUUGGCAUCUACCCAAGGACGGGGGAAGGAGUGCUGGGCAGGAAAAGGCUCUGACUGCAGCACGGCUCCAAGGAAUCUCUCUCGGCUGGGCUAGCCCGAGUCCUGGUGUACAGAUGGCCCACAAAGGAGCGCUUCUUUGGGCAGAAACGGCCAGGCCCUGGUACUCUGCCAUGCUCUGUCACUGGCCAGGGCUGCAGGAGAAGAGUGUGGCUUUGGAUCAAAUGCUGUGGCGGAUCCCCUAGGUGGGGCAGGUGCAGGCUGGCAGCUGACCCCUUGCCCACACCCGCCAUGAAGGAGGUGGGCGCCGGGUCCCUCUGGAUCUACCCUGCACAGUCCUUGAGGCAAAGCCUGUCUUGUUCCCUUCACAAUCUUGCCCAUAUUACCGGUGUCCAGUUACCGUUUCUUGAGUUACUUCUUUUCAUAGGACCAGUUGGUAAUGUAAUAGUAAUAGCAUGAUGGGGUAGGAAGAACUUGGGUUUGAGACACAGAAAGAUCUGGAUUCACAUCACAGGUGUUUUUCUAGCCAAAUCUGUAUUAGAUCAGCUGGCAUCUAAUGCAAGUUCUUUAACUUCUUUAAGCAGCUGAAAUGAGAUUAAAGUCAUCUGCUGAAAUGAGA
Long non-coding RNA from Balaenoptera acutorostrata (minke whale), 861 nucleotides. RefSeq lists it as uncharacterized. The record is from RefSeq and is a predicted model, not a curated record. NCBI's taxonomy places the organism in Eukaryota, Metazoa, Chordata, Mammalia, Artiodactyla, Balaenopteridae. The transcript is spliced from 2 exons.